UUGAUCCUGGCUCAGAACGAACGCUGGCGGCAGGCCUAACACAUGCAAGCCGAACGCACUCUUCGGAGUGAGUGGCAGACGGGUGAGUAACGCGUGGGAACCUACCCAGUGGUACGGAAUAACCCCGGGAAACCGGGGCUAAUACCGUAUACGCCCUCCGGGGGAAAGAUUUAUCGCCAUUGGAUGGGCCCGCGUCGGAUUAGCUAGUUGGUGGGGUAAUGGCCCACCAAGGCGACGAUCCGUAGCUGGUUUGAGAGAAUGAUCAGCCACACUGGGACUGAGACACGGCCCAGACUCCUACGGGAGGCAGCAGUGGGGAAUCUUGGACAAUGGGCGAAAGCCUGAUCCAGCCAUGCCGCGUGAGUGAAGAAGGCCCUAGGGUUGUAAAGCUCUUUCAGCGGGGAAGAUAACGACGGUACCCGCAGAAGAAGCCCCGGCUAACUUCGUGCCAGCAGCCGCGGUAAUACGAAGGGGGCUAGCGUUGUUCGGAAUUACUGGGCGUAAAGCGCGCGUAGGCGGACUGGUCAGUCAGGGGUGAAAUCCCGGGGCUUAACCUCGGAACUGCCUUUGAUACUGCCAGUCUUGAGUCCGAGAGAGGUGAGUGGAAUUCCUAGUGUAGAGGUGAAAUUCGUAGAUAUUAGGAAGAACACCGGUGGCGAAGGCGACUCACUGGCUCGGUACUGACG
This 686-nucleotide ribosomal RNA is filed under the name uncultured bacterium. RNAcentral's name for it is "bacterial SSU rRNA". It matches the Rfam family "Bacterial small subunit ribosomal RNA", at positions 13 to 745 of the family's 1533-position model. The record is from RNAcentral.